GGAGGGGGGAGGGACACACUCAGACUGUGCUUGGACUCAGAAACCAUCACAGCAAACCAGGCAUAGUGGAAAUGCUCAGUCAUGGCCUGAAGCAGUGAUGGAGCACCUGGUGAGAAGGCAGGGCCAACUCCAGGAGUUCAGGUGCAUGCAAUGCAUCUGAGUGACUGUGAGGGGUGGAGCCCCUCCUUCCCAGUCCUCAUUUAAAGGUUGGGGAGGUGAGGGUAUCUCUUGUUGGAGGUUUCUGCUUGCCUAAGGCCUUUUGAAGAAUACAACUUCAUAUAUAAAUCCAAAACAGCACGCACACGCCGCACCUGUACUGAUUCAAGGCUGUGAUCCUGCUGGGAGUUGUUGGUGUACCCAUUGCUCAAGCCAAGGACUUGUGACAAGGGCAGGUGGAAGUUUGGGGCAGAAAAGGGAACAUUGGACUUGCUGUGCCAGCCCAGAUGAAAGGUUGAACAAGCCCAGGCUCCUGUCUCUGGCAGCGGCCAGAAAAGCUUCAGGAAAGCACAGAACAACAGAACAAGCAUAAAGUAAUACUUUCCCCACUCCAUCCUCCUCACAGACUAAUUUCCCCGCCCUAUACCAGCUCAACUUCUCUGGCAGGAAUGUUGGGGAUGGCAGACCUGUGCUUUCAUCUGCUCCCAAGCCUCCUGCUGACAAAACUGCACCUCUGUGAUCCCACUCAACCAGCUUUUGGCCCAGCUACCCAGCCAGAAUAAAGCUACCUGGAACUACUGCUUGGUUCAGGAGCAAACCACUCUGAAAAGGUUUUGCAUACAUCUUACUUCAAAACUUCUUUGUGACCUUUCCCACUGAUGUCAGGCUUGUGCACAGGAGAGCAAGCCACAGAGCCCCGUGUCUCGUCUGUUUGUCCCAGCCACCAGGUGCUUUCUGAUGGACAUGCAGAGAUCAAAUAAACAAAAUCCCACUUUACUACAGAAAGAGAGACCUGUCACCAUGGUGCUGGGCUCAGAGAGCUGCAGAGCAAAAGCUUCACCAAGCCGUAUGGCUGAAUUGUUCCCUUCUUCGUCGCCCAUUAAAAAAAUCUAAGUGGAAGAUGAGAAGCUGCCUGCUUUAGGUUCAUGUAUGAAUAAUUAUAGGUACCUGCACUAGCAAGGGAGUUUCUGAAAGACGAGUAAAGAGCUGGGCCUCUUCAGGGAAUCUGUGGCAAGCAGGUCAUUCAAAAAUAACUUUUGGAGGCUAUGGGAAGUGGGUGAAAUGAAGUAACAAACAGCUUCUGAAAAAAACAGCUGAUGAAAGGGAGUGUUUCAUCUGAUAUCACAAACUGUUAGUUUUCAUUCUGAUCCUGUUGUUUUCUUCUUUAUAUAGCUCAUAGAGUGCUCCUAAGUUGUCUCCAAAGGAUAUUAAUUUUCCACUGGCAUCAGAAAGGCUGAAGUGAUACUUGCAAUGAGGGUAAAUGACUCCCUUGAGGUUUUGGCACCCACAGCUCUGGACUAACUGGAAACACAGGCAAUUAAUAAAUCAGAAAAUCAGUGCCUCUCGGCCUUCACUGCUCCAGGGAAGCCAACGGGAGCUUUGUCAGUAGGACUAGGAGACUAGACCAAGACCACAGAGCGUGCCCCAUAAAGGACUUGCAUGUGAAAAAGCUCGGCGGUCUACAAUGAAUGCCAGCUCUUAAAAGUUCUGAUCAAGGUCUGAAGUAGACUGAAGCAGAAAACACUGAACAAGAACUGGGAUCAACCACAAACAUGGAGGUGGCUUCAGCCACUAUGGGAGGACUGCUGCAGCCACAUGGUGAUGCUGAGUGAAGCUCACCAGCAAGCAGAAAAUACAACUGGUUCUUGCUCUCAGGGAUGUAAGGCCAUCUCAGAUAGUAAUGUCUAAGGCAUCAAAACUUAUUCCUUGUGAAGCCUGGGUGAUAACUGGUAAUUAAGACUGUAACAGCCACAAUCUGUGAUAUGCUGUCAUCUACACAAAAUCUACCUGAUUCCAGCUCAUCUGGAAGCAAAAACAUCACUAUGAUUGCUGAGAUAGGAAUUGAAAGCCAUAUGCUGAAAGCCAGCCUGUUUCUCAGGGUCCUCUUAAAGUUUUCAUGCUGGCUGAAAGUAGAUCAUAAGCUCUGUGGCACUUGUCACCAUUAUUUUACCUCCUUUUUUUGUGUGUGUGUGCAGAGAACCGUUUGCAAUGUGAAAUAGUGCUAGACAUUGCCAAAAAAGCCAACCAAACAUCCUGCUUAUGCUACUUGGAUGAAAGACAUCUUUAGAAGAUGGACUCCGGGGGACAAACAAAUAAUACCAACAAAGUACGUGUAUAUACACACAGCCCUAUACACGCUUGUAUCUCAGUUGUAGAGUUCUCUUCCUCACCAUCGAUUACUAACUCGCUGUUUUCUUUCCAGAAAGAAAAAGUCCUUGACAGAAUUUAAGCGAUGAGUAAUGAAUCUGCUUUCCUCCAUUCCAGCUGCUACACAGGCACGUACAUGAGUCCCUGGCCCUGCAAAUUUGAACAUUUUAACCUUGUCUUGUGUCCUGUGCCUCUCCUGUCACCUAAUGUUGUUGCAGUUAGUGCACUCUUAAGUCAGGUCUACCUCUCUCAGUAGCUAGGGCAACUGUAUUUACAGGAAGCAAGAAAAUACACUUAUAAACAGCAGUAUGCGUCUGGGGAUAAUGUCAGCACUUCAACCAGAGUCUUGCUAUUCUCUUGGCGUUGUCAUCGCUGGAUCCUCUGCCCUUCCUUACACGUGGGCUUGAGGAGGUGGUUGUUUUGGCUGGAAUUAGAGAGGCACAGGUGGUAUCACCAGCUGUAAAUUGGAGGAGGCACUUCCUGAUUAUGACCACUGCCUACACAUAAAUCACUGCCAAGAGAGGAGCUGAGAAGCAUAGAAGCCUUCUCCUUACUUGGAAAGAGGGCCUCAAGUGUAGUCAGAAUUCCCCUGUUCUGUGUUUUUUUUCACCUAUAGGUUUCAGGGUCCUUUGUGGGCUCUUGGCUUCCCAAAAUGAUGUGACAUGGAAAACCCUCAGCUGAGUUUGACAUGUGGAUAAACCAAAGCAUCAAGUACUUGAGCAUCUAACACUUGGGCACUCAAAUCCUCAUAAAGGCACUGGGAGCUCAUGGGAGCUCAGGAGAUGCACAUACAGGAGGCAUUUGAGAGCCAGGACUACAGCAAAGAAUCAGGUAUUUGCUCAACCGCAACAAAGUGUCAUCCCCUUCAAGUGGUGAAUGAGCCCUUGAUCUGUGAGGUCAAGAUUUUUGCCUUCUGGCUUUACAUGUUUGUGGUGAGAGACCUGUACAAAGCUGCAGCGAGCGCUAAGUCUCUGGCGAGGAGUUUGGGUGCUGUUUUUGGAAAGCACUGCUGGCCAUCUGUAGUCACCCUGCACAGACUGCCACAGUCCUGCUCUCCUGUGCUAGCAGACACAGAUGGGUGUAGUUGUGUUUUACUGUCAGGUUAAGAGGUGGUUUUUUUUCCCCAAUUAUUAUCUAGUGUUAAUUUCUCUACCUGUUCACUUGUACACAGUGAAGACCUCUGCUGCUGGCCCUGACUUGCCUUGUCUGCAGGAAACUUGGGACGUUGAGUCGCCUCAUCAACCAAUUUGCUGGGGUGACCAUUCAGCCCCUUGCUGUCUCAUGGUCUUGCUUUUUGGGGUAUUUCUUCCCUUUUAACCCAAAGCGUUUUCAAUGUGGGUCCACUGAACGUACAGAUGGAGAGCAGGGAGUGAGGGAGAGGUGUUGCAGAAUCAACCCACCAACGUGUGCUGCUCACCCACGCACAUGGGGAGAGGGAAAGAUUAAAAGAUUAAAGUUACAAACUGAAAACCGCCCCAGGCUACCGCUGAGAUCUGAGUGACUGCCUGCGAAGCCAAACUCCCACUCUGGAGGUGCCGCGCCACGCUCGCUGUCACUCACUCCACACUUGCUUUCUCCUGCCAUCCCUUCCUGCCACUGGCUUUGCUAUUUUUACAGGCUGAAAAAUUAAGUAAUCGUCUGGUUUGGCCAUGAAGGAGAGCCCAGAGCAACUCCUGGUUGUCAUUGCGGGGCUCAUGGGUGUAGUCUUGUGCUCCAUCGCUGCCCUCCUGUACUUCUAGACCUUAAAGACUCCUCCGUCAGCCUUCUGCUUUGCCUCAUUUGCCUGUAUCACGGCCAGGUUGGGUUUGGAUGUGGCUCAGGACUGGUGUGGGAGGGACAGCAAUUUGCAGCAGUCAGGAUUUCGGUAAUGAAGUGGGGAAGUUUGUAAGGUCUUCAGUGCUUUCUUGCCCCUACAGAGAUGUGCAAAUCAAGACCUACUCUACCAAGCUUACAAUUAAAUAUGCCCACAGUUUUAUACUCCUUCCUGCCAUUUGUUUAGAUUUUCUCACUUUCUUUUUUUUCCCUUUGUUAGAACUGGACCAAGAUUGUGGCUUUAUGGCUGAAAGGUACAGAACUAAAACUAAGGUCUAGGAGCUCCAAAAGAGUUAUCAGUGCUGUGCUUGUGUUGGUAGGCAUGAUGCAAAAUGAAACAAGGUUAUUUUUAUUUGAUUGUAGCAGUUAAUCUGAGCCAAAACGAUGAUUUCAUUUAAUUCUGGGAGUAUUGAGCUGUAUAAGUCAUUUUUUUCCAAUUUGUUUUCUGUUAUUGUAGUUGAGUUUAGGGGUACUUUUUGUCAGAAACAGGCUGUUUCAAAGAAAAAAAAAAGAAAGGUUUGGCUCUGCUAUUUUGAAAAUGUUGAAAUGGUGUAUUUUGACAUCUCAGAAGUUCCUCCUCCUCCCUGUGCUUUUCAGAUGAAGGUAUUCCUCAGACGCAGGCUGAUCUUGUCAGUGUGUUCAGUUCCCUUAGGGUUCCAUAUUUAAUCUGAUCUCCCAGCUAUCAGCUAUGCUGCCCCGCUCUGCCACUGUGUGGAGGUGACAAAGGAGCACCAGGACCUUCUCGCUCCUGCAAGAAAUGGUGCUCAUUGCACAUGAGAUGAUGGGACAGCCUACUCCUAGCUUGGCUUUCCUGCUGAGGACAGUGGGAGCCCUGCAGAUCAGGACACGUUCGAGUGAUUCGUACCUGCCCUUAGAUACCAGCAUUUCUUCUGGCGUGACUGGUUUCUCUCAUCUGCUGCCAAUGGUCUUGUCAGGGCAAACGUGCUGAGCUGAUGGGAUGCCCUGGUAGGGGCAGCUGUGAGUGGAGCUUUACAACCAUGUUGCCAGAAUUCUUAAGAAAUUGGAUGCUGGCCUAUAAAACAGGAAUGCAACUACUGAUGUUAAGGAGUCAGAUAGUUUCUCUUUCUGCCCCAAGGAGAAACUGACUGUAUGAAGAUGUACAAGAACUUGGCUUUAUAAACAUAAAUUUACUUGCAGUUAAUGGAAAUGGCUUCAGUCUGCCUUCCUGCUUGUGCCAGCCACAGCCCUCGGCACGGUGCAGGCAGCUCACACGUGCAUCAUGAUCAGCACCCUGCUGGGAGAGAGCUUCACCAUCUGAGUGCUCACAGCCCCUCCAGCAGCUCACCCAGCCCUUCACCUGCAGGGGCCUGUGCCUCAGAGGGGGUCAGCAGCAAGCUCCGUGCUUCCCAAGGGAUGCACAGUUCUUGGUAAGCGUCUGGCUGUAACAGGCACGGCUAAAAUACCACAUUGGGCACAAUUCAAUGCAGUCAUUUCCACACUCGUUCCGGUUCUGAUGACGACUCAAUGAGCUCAAAGUCUUUGCAAAGUUUAUGCACCACAUGCUUGCACAGGUCUUGGUCUGUGAUGAAUCUGUAGCUUCCAACAAAUUACAGUUGGUGUGCUGUUUUAUUUACAUAGGAUUCAUCUAAUUCAAAUGACUAGAUGAAAUCCUUUCAUCUUUGGGGCACAGGAGGUCAGAGUACGGUGAUUUUAUACGGCUGCUCCGGGCCAUAAAAUCUGUUCAUUUGACAAUCAAUAGAAAGAUAUCACUUGCAAUGUUGAUGAGGUAAUUUCCUCCUCCAGUCAGCUCUGACCCUGUCUUCCUGGUUCACACUCUCCCAGCAAGGUGAAAACUCCUGAAGUUCUGCUCUGCUCCAUCCUGCCCCCGCUGACGCCCGCACACCCUUCCAUUUCUUAGUUCCCACCCCAGCUUUCUUCUGCCUCCAUUGCCCAUGAUCUCAGCUGUCAUAUAUUAAAAUUCCUUGUACUUUGAAGCCACUCGCUGAUUUACAUGCUCCAAGCAUGCAAGUUCUCUUCCUGAACUCUUAUUCUAACCAUGCACUCAAUAAGGUGGUGCCAAAAAAAAACACAUCCUGCUCUAUAUUUGUUCUCUGCUGCAUUGCACAACUUCAUAUAUGUAGUGUAUAGGAGACAACAGACCUUCUGGGGCAUAGUCUGUGACAAGUCACCUGCCCAGCAAGCCCACUGUGCUGGAUGCUAUGAAUAUUUAUUGUGCUUAAGAACGAUCCUUGCCUUUCAUCUGGCACUCCAUCACCAGAUCAGCAACGGCUUCAAUGAGGAAGUUGAGUCAAUCCUGAUUUCCAGAUGGAAACGUGGAGAAGGUGAAGUAACCUGCGUGGUGUCAGUGUGCUGGCACAGCAGAGCCACAAGACACACAGAGGAACUGUGUGCAGCCACCUCUGGGCCUGGCCUUGCACUCCAGCCACAACACCCUGCCCAACAAUAUAUCAAAAAAGAAGUGCUUGUGCAAUGCAUUUUUGCCUUCUUCGUUAAGAGUAAACAAUUUGAAGGUUUUCCUCCCAGGCAUUCAUGGCAUCCUUGAGAAAUGUGUUUCAACAUGCACUUUUCCUAAUGCUGUGUGUGUCUUACGACCCAGCCUGCAGCUGUGACCUGCUAGAAGGAAACAGCCUGCGGUGAGUUGGGGUGGCAGUGCCAGCCCUGUGCUCUGCUCUGCAGCUCUUAUGGUGGCAGUUGGAGCUGGAGGGACCAACCAAGGAGCUGUGCUGCGUGGAGCUCUUCGGGGAGCUGUACCAGCUGCUGUGUUGGCAGCCUUGUAAUUGCCUCUGGAUCUGCCUUGCCGUCUUGUUUCCUUCUAUGUAAUUGCUUGCUGCAGAUUUUCUUUUCUUCAUUCUGUAGAACUUGUAUCUUGCUCGGAUUUCUCCUCAAUCUGAGAGUCAGAGGAAAUAGAGAACUCAUCGGCUGCGUGCUUCUUCCAUAUAUUAUGAAAGUGUCCCUAUGCCAUGUGUGAUUUUCUUCUUUUUUCAUGCAAUCAGACAGCACAACACAGAGCCAGAGAAGGAAGGAUCCAUCCUGCCGAGAUGCUCCUUGCUCUCAGCUCCACAAAGGCGACAGCAGAUCUAUCACUUCCCCCCUCUCUAACCCUGUGCUUUACUUCCCCCACACAUACUGCUGAGUUUUGCAAAUGUCGUGUGGCAGAGCAUCUGAUAUGUCACGGAGAGCUCUGUGUGGCACAAAGCUGGGACAGCCCUGGAGCCCUGCAGGAGCUGCAGA
Long non-coding RNA from Lagopus muta (rock ptarmigan), 7329 nucleotides. RefSeq lists it as uncharacterized. The record is from RefSeq and is a predicted model, not a curated record. The transcript has 7 exons. NCBI's taxonomy places the organism in Eukaryota, Metazoa, Chordata, Aves, Galliformes, Phasianidae.